This 1366-nucleotide long non-coding RNA is filed under the name Marmota monax (woodchuck). The record is from RNAcentral. Lineage: Eukaryota; Metazoa; Chordata; Mammalia; Rodentia; Sciuridae.
CUGGUGUGUAAAGAUGUCCUGGGCUCCACCUAAGGCCCUUUCCCUUCCCAGCUGGGUGUCCACGGGAAACCUCUCAAAUCUGUGUGCCUUCAGAGUACAGCAUGGAGAAGGCACCCCUUACUUCAUAGAGUUGACGUGGGGAUCCAGUGUGCUCUCAGGAACAAAACCUAGGUGACAUUAGUGUUUUGGGGUAUGAAGCAUCGAUAUUUAAUAUGGUGUAGCAGAUGUUGUGACCUUAAGAGAGAACUAACAAUUUGGCUCUUCUCUCUUUCCCACAACCUCUAAAUCAUUAUUUUUUUGCAAGUUCAGAAACCUGAUUUUUCUCCUCCAGAACACCCCCAAAUUUAGCUGAACAGAGAAAUUGUUGUUUAAUAAAUGUUUCAAGUGAGUGAUUUCACAGCUCCGGGAUGUCAAAGGACAAGCUGGAUGUGCUUAAAUAUACAAUUAAGACAGUGCAAACUACUCCUUAAGAGUAAAUGUAAUUAAUUAUACUAUACAAAAGGGGCGAACAGAAAAUGCGAUUGAGGACUUAUUUGGCCUUUGUUUUCAGCAUGUAAGAAAAUAAACCAUAAAUCAAAAUGAUCAUAGUAAAAAAAUCUAAAAUUUUCACAAAGAAUAAAAUUGAAACAGUAUACCACCAUACUUACAGUGCAGAGUUUAAGAAGAAUUCAGGUAGAAAAGUAAAAAGAAAGAAACAGAAUUGGCAUGUGUGAUACAAAAGAUUAUCAAUUACAGUGAACUACAGUAAUUCUUCUAUUUUUAGAUGAUAUCCUUAUAUUGUCAGAUGAUAUUCUUAUAGGAGACAAGAACCCCGAUUCACACCCAAAUACCAUUAUCACCUUGAAUUGUUGAAAUAAUAAGAAAUAUAGCAAAGAGGUUUCUGGUCCAAAAUGACAGCUCUUCAUUUUAGUGUCACUCAGGUUGACAAUCAAUGCAUGGGAUACAUGUCAUCACUUACCACUGCCUUUCUUGCAGAUAUGGGCCUUGGAAGUUUCCAGCAAAACAAACAAAUAAACAAACAAACAAAACCACCACUAAACAAUCUAGUGCAAUCUCAUUUCAUGAGAUGAGCUAGCAUGAAUGCCAUUUUUGUGACAGGAAAACAAUCAUAAAAGGAAUUAUUGAUUUAUGCACAAAACACGCUGUCAUUGCAAGAGGGUUAUAAAAAACUAGACUUCUUGUUAGUUGUAAAUUCAAUAUCAUAAACCAAAAAUAUUUUAUUCUACUCAUAGUGUUUUAUUUUUUAAAUUCAAUUGGACUUAUAUUUCAAAACUAAGUGAAAUCACAUGAAAAUGUGAUUUCUUGCUUUUCCUAAAAAAUCAGAAGAUUUAGCAGUUCAAAGGUCUAAUACAGCCUUUGACACAAC